CCCUUAGAUGUUCUGGGCUGCACGCGUGCUACACUGAUGCACUCAACGAGUUUACGACCUUGCCCGAUAGGGUUGGGUAAUCUUUUUAAAAUGCAUCGUGAUGGGGAUAGAUUAUUGCAAUUAUUAAUCUUCAACGAGGAAUUCCUAGUAAGCGCGAGUCAUCAGCUCGUGCUGAUUACGUCCCUGCCCUUUGUACACACCGCCCGUCGCUCCUACCGAUUGAGUGCUCAGGUGAAUAAUUCGGACUGCAGCAAUGUUUGGAUCCCGAACGUUGCAGCGGAAAGUUUAGUGAACCUUAUCACUUAGAGGAAGGAGAAGUCGUAACA
RNAcentral lists this ribosomal RNA (326 nucleotides) under uncultured eukaryote. RNAcentral describes it as "partial 18S ribosomal RNA". It matches the Rfam family "Eukaryotic small subunit ribosomal RNA", at positions 1470 to 1796 of the family's 1831-position model. The record is from RNAcentral.